This 51-nucleotide non-coding RNA is filed under the name Cupriavidus sp. USMAA2-4. Its description in RNAcentral is "Xanthine riboswitch aptamer (NMT1 RNA)". It matches the Rfam family "Xanthine riboswitch aptamer (NMT1 RNA)". Rfam says of the family: Later it was reported as a ncRNA that recognised Xanthine. Lineage: Bacteria; Pseudomonadati; Pseudomonadota; Betaproteobacteria; Burkholderiales; Burkholderiaceae. RNAcentral also lists the same sequence under 1 other name. The record is from Rfam by way of RNAcentral.
UGCAGGAGUAGAAGCGUUCAGCGGCCCCGCCGCCCGGAAAUUGCUCCAACG